AGCAGCCGCGGUAAUUCCAGCUCCAAUAGCGUAUAUUAAAGUUGUUGCAGUUAAAAAGCUCGUAGUUGAAUUUCGGGGUUCUACCGUUGGUCGGGCUUUGUCUGUACUGGCGUGUAGAAUUUCUACCUUCUGGGGAACCAUCAUGUUAUUAAUUUAACGUGGUGGGAAACCAGGACCUUUACCUUGAAGAAAUUAGAGUGUUCAAAGCAGGCUUAUGUCUGAAUACAUUAGCAUGGAAUAAUAAAAUAGGACGGUGGUCCUGUUUUGUUGGUUUCUGAAUCACCGUAAUGAUUAAUAGGGAUAGUUGGGGGCAUUAGUAUUCAAUUGUCAGAGGUGAAAUUCUUGGAUUUAUUGAAGACUAACUUCUGCGAAAGCAUUUGCCAAGGAUGUUUUCAUUAAUCAAGAACGAAAGUUAGGGGAUCGAAGACGAUCAGAUACCGUCGUAGUCUUAACCAUAAACUAUGCCGACUAGGGAUCGGACGAUGUUAAUUUUUAAUGACUCAUUC
This 506-nucleotide ribosomal RNA is filed under the name Racocetra persica. Its description in RNAcentral is "SSU rRNA". It matches the Rfam family "Eukaryotic small subunit ribosomal RNA", at positions 569 to 1081 of the family's 1831-position model. Lineage: Eukaryota; Fungi; Glomeromycota; Glomeromycetes; Diversisporales; Gigasporaceae. The record is from RNAcentral.